Molecule: ribosomal RNA, 377 nt
Filed under: uncultured Desulfotomaculum sp.
Lineage: Bacteria; Bacillati; Bacillota; Clostridia; Eubacteriales; Desulfotomaculaceae
Description: bacterial SSU rRNA
Rfam family: Bacterial small subunit ribosomal RNA
Source: RNAcentral
GGUUUUACUUUUCUGGACAGAAAGACGAGGUGGUGCAUUGGUUGUCGUCAGCUCGUGUCGUGAGAUGUUGGGUUAAGUCCCGCAACGAGCGCAACCCCUACGGUUAGUUGCUAACGGGUAAGGCCGAGCACUUUUAGCCGAACUGCCGUUGACAAAACGGAGGAAGGCGGGGAUGACGUCAAAUCAUCAUGCCCUUUAUGUCCUGGGCUACACACGUGCUACAAUGGCCUGUACAAAGGGCAGCAAAGGGGCGACCCGGAGCAAAUCCCAAAAAACAGGUCUCAGUUCGGAUUGCAGGCUGCAACUCGCCUGCAUGAAGGCGGAAUCGCUAGUAAUCGCAGGUCAGCAUACUGCGGUCGAAUACGUUCCCGGGCCUU